CCAAUGGUGCGCGCCACCUCGGUGGUAGGCCGCACCAGAUCGUCCAGGAGGGUGUUGAUAGAGUCGGCCUGCUCAGCCCAUCCGCCGAUCGCACCGGGCAGGGUCAUGCGCUGCCUGAGGCGCCCCUCUUUGCCGACCGUCCCGCUUAGCCGCGCCACCUCUCCAGUGAUCCGGCCCUGGUGUGCGAGGGUUUGGUUGAAAGCCUCGGCUAUUCGUCCAUCCGUGCCGGGCC
Molecule: unclassified non-coding RNA, 232 nt
Filed under: Hevea brasiliensis (rubber tree)
Lineage: Eukaryota; Viridiplantae; Streptophyta; Magnoliopsida; Malpighiales; Euphorbiaceae
Source: RNAcentral